RNAcentral lists this long non-coding RNA (435 nucleotides) under Capra hircus (goat). Its description in RNAcentral is "lncRNA (ENSCHIG00000002273.1)". Lineage: Eukaryota; Metazoa; Chordata; Mammalia; Artiodactyla; Bovidae. The record is from RNAcentral.
AGCAGGGCCUGGAGCAAUCAAGGCUCUCAUGGCUUGCUGCAUGUUGGUUCUCAAAGAAAAAAGAUUCUAAAAUGGAAAUUGAAAAUCCGUUGUUUUUCAGGGAGUGAUCUUGGUGCCAAUGUGGGAUGGAAAAGGAGCAAGAUUGAAGAGAUGGAGAAUUCCAGUAAAGUCUUCAGCUGGUCCUAAAGAUGCCAGAGAAGAGUUUGUGAUAUUCACGCCUGAUAAUGAGAUCUCCACUCUUUUGAAGGUGAACAAAUGAGCUUGAAUGUGUUGCUGUUUCAAUAAGAAGCAACAAAUACUAAACAAAAACAAACUGGGAUAGGAGUACAAGGGGGAACCAAGAUUGAAAUUCUGUUUAUCUCUACUGCAACCUUACUAGAGUUGGAUGGAGAAACUGGAAAUCUUAGGUAUACAUUCAGCUCUCCCUUGCCUUUG